Molecule: transfer RNA, 66 nt
Filed under: Eysarcoris gibbosus
Lineage: Eukaryota; Metazoa; Arthropoda; Insecta; Hemiptera; Pentatomidae
Description: tRNA-Asp
Source: RNAcentral
GAAGAUUUAGUUUAUGUUAAAACCUUAAUUUGUCAAAUUAAUAAUAUAUGAAAUAUAUAAUCUUUA